RNAcentral lists this unclassified non-coding RNA (279 nucleotides) under plant metagenome. Its description in RNAcentral is "partial contains small subunit ribosomal RNA, internal transcribed spacer 1, and 5.8S ribosomal RNA". The record is from RNAcentral.
UCUCCGUUGGUGAACCAGCGGAGGGAUCAUUACAGAGUUUUCACAACUCCCAACCCUUGCGAACCGUACCCAUUCUGUUCUCGUUGCUUCCGGCGGGGGGGACCGGGGGGCCCGAAACGGCUUCCCCGCCCCGCCCGCCGGUGGCGGCGGGCCCUACGCACCCUUAUAUCUCAACCACCCGAAACCCUGUGCGAAAACAAACAAAAUAAUCACAACUUUCAACAACCGACCUCUUGGCUCUGGCACCGAUGUAAAACGCCAGUGAUCGGAACAUCACGG